Molecule: ribosomal RNA, 1470 nt
Filed under: metagenome
Description: bacterial SSU rRNA
Rfam family: Bacterial small subunit ribosomal RNA
Source: RNAcentral
AGAGUUUGAUCAUGGCUCAGGACGAACGCUGGUGGCACGCUUAACACAUGCAAGUCGAACGAGAGAAGAGGAGCUUGCUUUUCUGAUCUAGUGGCGGACGGGUGAGUAACACGUGAGCAAUCUGCCUUUCAGAGGGGGAUACCGAUUGGAAACGAUCGUUAAUACCGCAUAACAUAAUUGAACCGCAUGAUUUGAUUAUCAAAGAUUUAUCGCUGAAAGAUGAGCUCGCGUCUGAUUAGCUAGUUGGUAAGGUAACGGCUUACCAAGGCGACGAUCAGUAGCCGGACUGAGAGGUUGAUCGGCCACAUUGGGACUGAGACACGGCCCGGACUCCUACGGGAGGCAGCAGUGGGGAAUAUUGCACAAUGGAGGAAACUCUGAUGCAGCGAUGCCGCGUGAGGGAAGAAGGUUUUAGGAUUGUAAACCUCUGUCUUCAGGGACGAAAAAAGACGGUACCUGAGGAGGAAGCUCCGGCUAACUACGUGCCAGCAGCCGCGGUAAUACGUAGGGAGCGAGCGUUGUCCGGAAUUACUGGGUGUAAAGGGAGCGUAGGCGGGAUCGCAAGUCAGAUGUGAAAACUAUGGGCUUAACCCAUAAACUGCAUUUGAAACUGUGGUUCUUGAGUGAAGUAGAGGUAAGCGGAAUUCCUAGUGUAGCGGUGAAAUGUGUAGAUAUUAGGAGGAACAUCAGUGGCGAAGGCGGCUUACUGGGCUUUAACUGACGCUGAGGCUCGAAAGCGUGGGGAGCAAACAGGAUUAGAUACCCUGGUAGUCCACGCCGUAAACGAUGAUUACUAGGUGUGGGGGGACUGACCCCUUCCGUGCCGCAGCAAACGCAAUAAGUAAUCCACCUGGGGAGUACGACCGCAAGGUUGAAACUCAAAGGAAUUGACGGGGGCCCGCACAAGCAGUGGAGUAUGUGGAUUAAUUCGAAGCAACGCGAAGAACCUUACCAGGUCUUGACAUCGUAUGCAUAGCUCAGAGAUGAGUGAAAUCUCUUCGGAGACAUAUAGACAGGUGGUGCAUGGUUGUCGUCAGCUCGUGUCGUGAGAUGUUGGGUUAAGUCCCGCAACGAGCGCAACCCUUACUGUUAGUUGCUACGCAAGAGCACUCUAGCAGGACUGCCGUUGACAAAACGGAGGAAGGUGGGGAUGACGUCAAAUCAUCAUGCCCCUUAUGACCUGGGCCUCACACGUACUACAAUGGCUGUCAACAGAGGGAAGCAAAGCCGCGAGGUGGAGCGAACCCCUAAAAGCAGUCUUAGUUCGGAUUGUAGGCUGCAACCCGCCUACAUGAAGUCGGAAUUGCUAGUAAUCGCAGAUCAGCAUGCUGCGGUGAAUACGUUCCCGGGCCUUGUACACACCGCCCGUCACGCCAUGGGAGUCGGUAACACCCGAAGCCUGUAGUCUAACCGCAAGGAGGACGCAGUCGAAGGUGGGAUUGAUGACUGGGGUGAAGUCGUAACAAGGUA